Long non-coding RNA from Hyla sarda, 1117 nucleotides. RefSeq lists it as uncharacterized. The record is from RefSeq and is a predicted model, not a curated record. Lineage: Eukaryota; Metazoa; Chordata; Amphibia; Anura; Hylidae. The transcript is spliced from 3 exons.
CUAUGCAAAACCUACAUUAUAGAACCAUACAGAAUGCACAGUGGUCUUCAUACUGUAGACCUCCAGCUGUUGCCAACUCCCAGUAUGCCUGGACAGUUUCUACAUAUUACAGAGUGCCUUCAUUUUACUGCCAUAGGGAGCCUAUAUAUUACUGCCACACAGGAACAACCUAUCAGCACCAUAGCCUCAGCCUGAAUAAUGGUGCCAUAUAGAGGUACUCCCGGAAACACAUAUGGCUGAGACCCCCACGAUGUUUCACAACAGAGGCACACAGAGCCUACAUAGUGCUGCAAUACAAAGCUUACUUACUAAUACUUUUAGACACCUACUUAAUAGUACCACAUGGAGAAUAAAUGGGCACUGUUGUUUCAAACAAUUUCCCUCCAUGCGAUAGCUUAUGUAAUUCCUAACCUGUCUGUAAGUCAUUUUUUACCUCCAGAAAAAAUAAUACAGAUCUUGGCCACUCGGUGUCUCUAUUCCCUGUCAUCUGCUGUUCACUGGAGGAGAAAGAGAGAGCCUGGGCUGUGUGCCUGCAAGUUGAGCCUGUCUGCCUGCUGAAGAUGAUCCACACUGAUCCUGAAAGGAAAGAACAGCCGGAUCCAUUUUUUUUUUUCGCCUUAAAGGUCCUAAAAACACGAGGCCGUCACAGGGAUCAGGAAGAGCGGGGAGACCAUUGCGUUACAGAAACUCUAUAACCAAACCAGAUCGCCCCAUAAUAAAAACAGAUUGCGGGUAACCGGAUUUCAUCAGGCUUCCCGCCAAACCAGAAGGGUUGCUUCCAUGGCUCCUGUGCGACUCUCGAGGUCUUUUACUAUGUCUGGGGGCGUCUUACGCCAAUUUACAUUACGGCUCACAAUACAGUUGGUUUGGACAUGAACCAUGCAGCCCUAAUGCCAUCUUUAUGUAUACCUCGUGUGCAGGCAUAUGGAAUACAUACCGCCUGUAGCAGUCACAGACAGGCGCAGGGUUUUGGCCACAGGUGGUUUUUCAUGCAAAAAGUUGUGAGAUUAAAGUUUAUGAUCUUCAAAUCCAUCUGUUUGAUGCGAACAAUUACAAAUACUGCGACUCUAUAAAGACUCCGGUGAUCGCACCGAGGGAAGUUAUCAUUCCUGAUAUG